GAAAAACAAAGCUCCAAGAUGGCACGAACAACUCCAGUGCUGGUGUCUGAAUUUCAGGGGCCGGGUGACAGUCGCAUCAGUGAAGAACUUCCAGCUGGUGGCUUCGCAAGAGAAUGUAUCAGCUGGUCAAGAACAAGGCGAGGUGGUGCUCCAAUUUGGAAAAGUGGGGAAGGACUUGUUCACUAUGGAUUACCGAUAUCCGUUAUCAGCUUUCCAGGCGUUUGCUUUCUGUCUCAGUAGUUUCGAUACCAAGAUAGCUUGCGAGUAAAGGGGUUUUUA
Molecule: unclassified non-coding RNA, 279 nt
Filed under: Hevea brasiliensis (rubber tree)
Lineage: Eukaryota; Viridiplantae; Streptophyta; Magnoliopsida; Malpighiales; Euphorbiaceae
Source: RNAcentral